CGAUGAUGAUGAUGAUGAUGAUGAUGAUGAUGAAUAACAGUUCCUGGUGACACAUAUAUGUUCAUUCCAGCUAUGUAUCAUCAUCAUCAUCAUCAUUUUGC
Molecule: non-coding RNA, 101 nt
Organism: Podarcis lilfordi (Lilford's wall lizard)
Lineage: Eukaryota; Metazoa; Chordata; Lepidosauria; Squamata; Lacertidae
Source: the annotation of a GenBank genome assembly